GAAAUGCGAUACGCAAUGCGAAUUGCAGAAUUCCGCGAAUCAUCAGAUUCUUGAACGCAACUGGCGCUGGAGGGAUAUCCUUCCAGCAUGUCUGUUUCAGUGUCUGAAAACUUCCUAAACAUUCUAAUGUGUUUGACAAGGAGUAGUCUUUUAUAGACUAUACAUUUUCCGAGUCUUACAUGAAAGAUGUAUGUGUGGGUCUUUGGAUCCAUCGAAUUGGUCAUCGAUUCUUCGGUGAUUUCGAUUGGAUGUUACCAAUUACUUGUAUACACAUAGAAAUUUAUAUACAUACUUUAUCAUCUGCAUCUGAAAUCAGGCAAGAAAACCCGCUGAACUUAA
RNAcentral lists this unclassified non-coding RNA (339 nucleotides) under uncultured fungus. RNAcentral's name for it is "sequence contains ITS1". The stretch from base 1 to 105 matches the Rfam family "5.8S ribosomal RNA", at positions 50 to 154 of the family's 154-position model. Lineage: Eukaryota; Fungi. The record is from RNAcentral.